UGAGAUAGAGGAUGCGUUUCGUCAUCAGUAACGGCACCAAAGUGGUACAGCGCCGAUGCCGGGAAAGGGACAAACGCCGAAGUCGGACCGAGCUGUAUGGCGGUCUUGCUGGGCAGGCGGAAUAAGAUCCGUCUGACUGUCGCAGAAAGAUGCGGAGCGCUAUCA
This 165-nucleotide non-coding RNA is filed under the name bovine gut metagenome. RNAcentral describes it as "Lysine riboswitch". It matches the Rfam family "Lysine riboswitch aptamer". Rfam says of the family: Riboswitches are metabolite binding domains within certain messenger RNAs that serve as precision sensors for their corresponding targets. Allosteric rearrangement of mRNA structure is mediated by ligand binding, and this results in modulation of gene expression. The record is from RNAcentral.